RNAcentral lists this ribosomal RNA (132 nucleotides) under uncultured Xenopolyscytalum. RNAcentral describes it as "partial 18S ribosomal RNA". The record is from RNAcentral. Lineage: Eukaryota; Fungi; Ascomycota; Leotiomycetes; Helotiales.
UGAGGCUUUCGGACUGGCCUAAGGAGAGUGGCAACACUCACCUAGGGCCGGAAAGUUGUUCAAACUUGGUCAUUUAGAGGAAGUGAACCCCUUCCGUAGGCCUCCGGGGGGGGGCCCGCGGAGGGGGCGUUU